This 73-nucleotide transfer RNA is filed under the name Stegodyphus mimosarum. It matches the Rfam family "tRNA". From Rfam's summary of the family: Transfer RNA (tRNA) molecules are approximately 80 nucleotides in length. Their secondary structure includes four short double-helical elements and three loops (D, anti-codon, and T loops). Lineage: Eukaryota; Metazoa; Arthropoda; Arachnida; Araneae; Eresidae. The record is from Rfam by way of RNAcentral.
GCCUUCGUGGUGUAGUGGUUAGCAUGCUCGGUGCGUAUUCGAGAGGUCCAUGGUUCGAAUCCAGGUGAGGGCA